GCCCCUAUAGCUCAGUGGUAGAGCGUCAGUCUUGUAAACUGAAGGUCUGUAGUUCGAUCCUGCAUGGGGGCAUUUUUUUAUACUUUCGUUUUUAUUUCUUCUUGCUUGAGUUCCUCACAAAGUUGCGCGAUUGAAGCCUGGAUCUUAAACAAACGGGCUCAGGCCCAACCCAACCAAGACUACAACUAAGCCCAGACCCGCAAACUACAAAAGCUUCCUUCCGCGGCCCUAAUGGCAUUAUCGUUAUACCACAAAAACCAAGGGUUUCUGGUGUACGUCCAACCCGCCGCACUCUUCGAUAUAAACCCGCGUCCCUGCCAUCCCCCAACCCUAACUUCGGUAGCCGCCGCUCCUCUCGGUUUGCAACUCCAUUUUUUUACUCCGACUAGCACUUACAAGUAUUCUAAUUUAGGGUUUGGGGGUCGCUUCUGAUAGGCGUUACGUUCAUCGGCUGCUUUGUAAUUCCAGAAGGACGUGUCAACGGAAGCGUAAAUCAGCUUCGGUUUCCAUCCCAAAUUCAUCAAAAACAGCUACGCAUUUUUCGAAAUGGUCGUAGGUUGUUGUCUGGUUUUGGGCCGGAGUCGAGACGUUGUCUUACAAAUCACUGUCGGUGUUUUCUUCGAAAUUGUCGUAGUUGCUUCAUAUGGUGAACGCCCUGUAAAUUUCGAUUGUGUUGGGGAUGUUCUAGUUUCCGGAGCGUAGAUUAAAAUUAAGAAUUACCAGCACUAAACAGCACCGUGUCUGCUUUUUGCUUUUGCACCGUGUUACCUGUCUCCUGGUACAAAU
This 786-nucleotide small RNA is filed under the name Malus domestica (apple). RNAcentral describes it as "sRNA MD13G0092500". The stretch from base 634 to 786 matches the Rfam family "small nucleolar RNA snoR137". The record is from RNAcentral. Lineage: Eukaryota; Viridiplantae; Streptophyta; Magnoliopsida; Rosales; Rosaceae.